This 234-nucleotide long non-coding RNA is filed under the name Elaeis guineensis (African oil palm). RNAcentral's name for it is "long non-coding RNA (EGUI_LNC079564)". Lineage: Eukaryota; Viridiplantae; Streptophyta; Magnoliopsida; Arecales; Arecaceae. The record is from RNAcentral.
GAGGCCAUGGUAGCAUAGAGAAGGCUUUUCGAGAGGGAACGUAGUGAUCGAGGAAAGGCAAGAUUUAAAUCUAAGGAUAAGAAGAAGGUGAAAUGCUAGAAUUGUGAAAAAUCAGGGUAUGUAAAGAAAGAUUACCAGCUAGAGGAGUUAAUACAAAAUCUGAAUCAAAAAAAUUUUCAAAGCAAUAUAGCAGAAGGUGAAGCUGGUUUGGCUACUUCAAAAGACAGGGAUGCA